Molecule: ribosomal RNA, 468 nt
Filed under: uncultured bacterium
Lineage: Bacteria
Description: partial 16S ribosomal RNA
Rfam family: Bacterial small subunit ribosomal RNA
Source: RNAcentral
GAUGAACGCUGGCGGCGUGCUUAACACAUGCAAGUCGAACGGAAAGGCCCAAGCUUGCUUGGGUACUCGAGUGGCGAACGGGUGAGUAACACGUGGGUGAUCUGCCCUGCACUUCGGGAUAAGCCUGGGAAACUGGGUCUAAUACCGGAUAGGACGAUGGUUUGGAUGCCAUUGUGGAAAGUUUUUGCGGUGUGGGAUGAGCUCGCGGCCUAUCAGCUUGUUGGUGGGGUAAUGGCCUACCAAGGCGUCGACGGGUAGCCGGCCUGAGAGGGUGUACGGCCACAUUGGGACUGGGAGACGGCCAAGAGUCGUACGGGAGGCAGCAGUGGGGAAUAUUGGACAAUGGGCGCAAGCGUGAUGCAGCGAGGCCGCGUGGGGGAUGACGGCCUUCGGGUUGUAAACUCCUUUCGCUAGGGACGAAGCGUUUUUGUGACGGUACCUGGAGAAGAAGCACCGGCUAACUACGUG